This 692-nucleotide ribosomal RNA is filed under the name uncultured bacterium. RNAcentral's name for it is "bacterial SSU rRNA". It matches the Rfam family "Bacterial small subunit ribosomal RNA", at positions 9 to 690 of the family's 1533-position model. The record is from RNAcentral.
GAGUUUGAUCCUGGCUCAGAUUGAACGCUGGCGGCAGGCCUAACACAUGCAAGUCGAACGGUAACAGGAAGAAGCUUGCUUCUUUGCUGACGAGUGGCGGACGGGUGAGUAAUGUCUGGGAAACUGCCUGAUGGAGGGGGAUAACUACUGGAAACGGUAGCUAAUACCGCAUAACGUCGCAAGACCAAAGAGGGGGACCUUCGGGCCUCUUGCCAUCGGAUGUGCCCAGAUGGGAUUAGCUUGUUGGUGGGGUAACGGCUCACCAAGGCGACGAUCCCUAGCUGGUCUGAGAGGAUGACCAGCCACACUGGAACUGAGACACGGUCCAGACUCCUACGGGAGGCAGCAGUGGGGAAUAUUGCACAAUGGGCGCAAGCCUGAUGCAGCCAUGCCGCGUGUAUGAAGAAGGCCUUCGGGUUGUAAAGUACUUUCAGCGGGGAGGAAGGGAGUAAAGUUAAUACCUUUGCUCAUUGACGUUACCCGCAGAAGAAGCACCGGCUAACUCCGUGCCAGCAGCCGCGGUAAUACGGAGGGUGCAAGCGUUAAUCGGAAUUACUGGGCGUAAAGCGCACGCAGGCGGUUUGUUAAGUCAGAUGUGAAAUCCCCGGGCUCAACCUGGGAACUGCAUCUGAUACUGGCAAGCUUGAGUCUCGUAGAGGGGGGUAGAAUUCCAGGUGUAGCGGUGAAAUGCG